This 331-nucleotide ribosomal RNA is filed under the name uncultured eukaryote. RNAcentral's name for it is "partial 18S ribosomal RNA". It matches the Rfam family "Eukaryotic small subunit ribosomal RNA", at positions 1470 to 1796 of the family's 1831-position model. The record is from RNAcentral.
CCCUUAGAUGUUCUGGGCCGCACGCGCGCUACACUGACGAAGUCAGCGAGCAUGUCCUACGCCGACAGGUGCGGGGAAUCUUGUCAAACUUCGUCGUGAUGGGGAUUGAUUUUUGAAAUUCUUGAUCAUAAACGAGGAAUUCCUAGUAAGCGCAAGUCAGCAGCUUGCGUUGAUUACGUCCCUGCCCUUUGUACACACCGCCCGUCGCUACUACCGAUUGAAUGGUUUAGUGAGAUCUUCGGAUUGGCGCCACUGCAGCUCAGCAAUGGGCUUGGUGGAUGCCGAAAAGUUGAUCAAACUUGAUCAUUUAGAGGAAGUAGAAGUCGUAACA